Molecule: ribosomal RNA, 440 nt
Filed under: uncultured bacterium
Lineage: Bacteria
Description: partial 16S ribosomal RNA
Rfam family: Bacterial small subunit ribosomal RNA
Source: RNAcentral
CCUACGGGAGGCAGCAGUGGGGAAUAUUGCACAAUGGGGGAAACCCUGAUGCAGCGACGCCGCGUGAGUGAAGAAGUAUCUCGGUACGUAAAGCUUUAUCUGCAGGGAAGAAAAUGACGGUACCUGACUAAGAAGCCCCGGCUAACUACGUGCCAGCAGCCGCGGGAAUACGUAGGGGGCAAGCGUUAUCCGGAUUUACUGGGUGUAAAGGGGGCGUAGACGGCAGCACAAGUCUGGAGUGAAAUCCCGGGGCUUAACCCCGGAACUGCUUUGGAAACUGUGCGACUGGAGUGCAGGAGGGGUAAGCGGAAUGCGUGGUGUAGCGGUGAAAUGCGUAGAUAUUAGGAAGAACACCGAUGGCGAAGGCAGCUUACUGGACUGUAACUGACGUUGAGGCUCGAAAGCGUGGGGAGCAAACAGGAUUAGAUACCCUUGUAGUC